Macrosteles quadrilineatus (aster leafhopper) is the source of this 462-nucleotide long non-coding RNA. RefSeq lists it as uncharacterized. The transcript has 3 exons. Lineage: Eukaryota; Metazoa; Arthropoda; Insecta; Hemiptera; Cicadellidae. The record is from RefSeq and is a predicted model, not a curated record.
ACCCAUCAAUACCAUGACUUAAUACUAUUUGUUAAAGUUAAGUUAAAUGAUGUAAAAUAUUAAUCACCAUCAUUUUGAUUUCAUAUUUUAUUUAUUGCUAAUGGAUUUACAACAAUUUUACAGUAUAAUUACUUGUGUAUUGUGAGAAGCCAUUACGACUAGCCUUCAUUUUUAAAAUUGGAAUGGAUCGGAUCUUGCUAGUUGCUAGAUGGAAUUUGGGAAAGAAGGUUACUAGCGGACUGCUACCGGAAUAAAAAUAAGACCAAUGGCUAACUUACAUGUGAGGUGCUGUGUCCUCAUGGGCUAAUUUUGAGUGGCCUAACACCGAAGCUCUUAAUAACUUAACUCCAUCAAAGUAGCAAGAUUGGUAGCCUAAUGGAACUAUGGACUUAUUUUGGCUGGGAAAUUAUGUCGUCACGGUUGAGCUCAAGCAACCAUAAGUUCCUCGCUUUUCUGUCUUGC